CCUACGGGAGGCUGCAGUGGGGAAUAUUGGGCAAUGGGCGCAAGCCCGAUCCAGCAACGCCGCGUGAAGGAAGCAGUCUUUCGGGUUGUAAACUUCUUUUCUCAGGGACGAAGAAGGUGAUGGUACCUGAGGAAUAAGCCACGGCUUACUACGUGCCAGCAGCCGCGGUAAUAAGUAGGUGGCAAUCGUUAUCCUGAUUUAUUGGGUGUAAAGGGAGUGGAGACGGGAGCGCAAGUCAGAUGUGAAAACUCAGGGCUCAACCCUGAGACUGCAUUUGAAUCUGUGUGUCUUGAGUGCUGGAGAGGCAAUCGGAAUGCCGUGUGUAGCGGUGAAAUGCGUAGAUAUAAGGAGGAACACCAGUGGCGAAGGCGGAUUGCUGGACAGUAACUGACGCUGAUGCGCGAAAGCGUGGGGAGCAAACAGGAUUAGAUACCCCAGUAGUC
This 443-nucleotide ribosomal RNA is filed under the name uncultured bacterium. Its description in RNAcentral is "partial 16S ribosomal RNA". It matches the Rfam family "Bacterial small subunit ribosomal RNA", at positions 338 to 795 of the family's 1533-position model. The record is from RNAcentral.